This 252-nucleotide ribosomal RNA is filed under the name uncultured bacterium. Its description in RNAcentral is "partial 16S ribosomal RNA". It matches the Rfam family "Bacterial small subunit ribosomal RNA", at positions 524 to 775 of the family's 1533-position model. The record is from RNAcentral.
UACGUAGGGCGCAAGCGUUGUCCGGAAUUAUUGGGCGUAAAGAGCUCGUAGGCGGCUUGUCACGUCUGCUGUGAAAUCUCGGGGCUUAACUCCGGGCCUGCAGUGGGUACGGGCAGACUAGAGUGCGGUAGGGGAGACUGGAAUUCCUGGUGUAGCGGUGGAAUGCGCAGAUAUCAGGAGGAACACCAAUAGCGAAGGCAGCUCGCUGGGACGUUACUGACACUGAGGCGCGAAAGCGUGGGGAGCGAACAG